AGAGGAAUAGAUUGUGAACUGUGGACUUUAAAAGGCUUUGAUUCUUAUUCUCGAUCCCAGACAGGCUUCAGGACAUGUGUGGGCUACCUGCAUCUCAUCUGCAUAUGGUGAUGAUAUUAUGCUAUCCACAGGCUCCUUGACCUGGGACUUGCUAAUCAUACAUCUAGUGCUAGGUAGAACCCCAUACAGGCUCUAGAGUGCCCUGUGCCUUCCUAGACCUGUAGCUUACAGCAGUGCUGGCUCUGCUUCUGCCAUCAACAGCGACAAUCACAGAACAAUUACUUUAUCUGGAAAACACACCCCAUUCAAACAACCCUACAAGAUAUUCAGUGAUCAUUGAGUAUCUGCUGUAUGAAGAAAACUGUAAUUAUUGGCCUUGGACUUCAUUUGGAUGUUCACACAGCCCUAGUCAGACAGUGCUUUGACAUUUUUUCUCCUGGACUGCCUGGGAAGCACUGUAAGCAUUGC
Molecule: long non-coding RNA, 468 nt
Filed under: Mus spicilegus (steppe mouse)
Lineage: Eukaryota; Metazoa; Chordata; Mammalia; Rodentia; Muridae
Description: lncRNA (ENSMSIG00000012560.1)
Source: RNAcentral